Long non-coding RNA from Penaeus chinensis, 3720 nucleotides. RefSeq lists it as uncharacterized. Lineage: Eukaryota; Metazoa; Arthropoda; Malacostraca; Decapoda; Penaeidae. The record is from RefSeq and is a predicted model, not a curated record. The transcript is spliced from 3 exons.
GCCAGCAGCUGCCCGUUGAAGCAAGCGGCGGCGUCGGCGAUCUGGGCCAUCAAGUCGGGUGCUGUGACGAGCCAGGCGAUGUCGCACUCGCAGCUCAGCGGGUUUGCUGGCGGGGAACGAGAGGGCGGAAGCUAACAAGGGGCAAGAAGCUUCGGGGGAGACUUUACCUUCGAGGAAGAUCGAGACCUUGUCCUCCAGCAGCGGCCGGAACACUGCUUCGUCCAGAACCGUCAAGGAGUUGCCAUCGAGCCGAAGCCGCCGUGGACGUGUUUUUGCCUCCUCUCCGCCGCCGCCAAACAGCCCAGCAAACCAAGGCAUCUCGUCGUCCCACAGUCAUAGGAAAAUCUGACUACCUUCCCCGGGUCACAGGAGGCCAGCAAGAGGGCUAUCCCGGUGCUUCCUCGAGUAGCUAGCCCAAGCUCUUAUCCCCGGAGUUAAAGGGGACCCUUGGCCCAGGUUUUCGUGCCCCCUUCCCCGGGAAUGGAACCUCCGCCCUUGGGUCCUUGGCAGCGCGGGUCAAAGCUGCUCCCUCGCCCCUGACGAUGGGCACCCCCACGGCAGCCAGGGUCAAGGCUGCCCCUUUCGCCCAGGGAAAAGGGUGAUUCAGCAUCCCGGACAAUCAAAGCAUCGUGAUCAGAAAUAAAAAAACUAUACCGGUGAAUAUAGUGAUGACAGUGAAGAUAACAAAGAAACAAGUCAGAUAAAUGGAAACAAUGAAUACAGUGGAGACAGUAAAGCUGUCUAUCAGGUAGGCGGCGUAACCAUAGUGCUGAACACGAUCCUAUGCCUUAUUACAACAGAAAGCAUGAGCACGGUUGAUGUUAUGUGAUCAAAUCAGGAAACUGUACAGCCCAGAUGAGAUCGACAACGCCUACAAUAUUAUUAUAUAUUAUCAGACUACAAGAACAAGAAACAUAACAAAAGACAUUAAAAGUUCACACCAUGAUCGAUCAGUGCUUAAAAAAGGAUAAUAUAAUGUUUGCUACAACAACACACUCCCGCCACUGAUUGGCUUCUCCAGCUCAAGAAAACAGGUCUCUGCACCUUUUGAGAAAAUCUUUCAAAAACAAAAACACCAGGACACACCAGCACAACAUGAACUCUCCUUCAGCAUGCAAUAUAACCUUGCAAACAAAACAGAUUUGGUGAUUGGAAUGUUCUCCGAAUAACAACCCGCAAUAAACAGUUUAAUUAAUCAAGGUGAGAUGCCUCGCCAGGAAUGCGGAAGGGAAGCAUCCGUCACAACAGUCUCGACCCAUUCCAUCACGCAGCAUCCGAUCUCCUAACCCCUCCCCACGGCCAAUCUGCCCACCGAACUUUCCCUUCGCAUCCCCUCCCCUGUCAGAAUGGUCUCUACCUCCACACCACAAAACGAACGCACACAUAACCACACUCCCCCUGCACCUUCCACGGCAGUACCCACGACCAACGCCUCUCCUAGCUCCCCCCCCCCCCCCCCCCCUCCCCUGACACUCCGUCCCCUCUCUCUGUUCCCACUCCGACCCAGCAAACUCGCAACCUUGCCGACGCGCCAGCCUCCCCUCGUCCGGAGCCACGCAAGCGUUUGCCUAGCAACAACGCUGAUACGCCCGCAACCGGUAUGAGGAACGAAGCUUCUACACAAGAAACACCCAGAAGAAGCUAUGAGAGGAACAGUAAAAGGAAGAACAAGCAAAAACAUCUUCCACCAAACCGCCAAUGGGAAGAUACGACACACCGCCACGUGUUUUGAGUACCUCCCCCUCCCCCCUACUACCCCUCCUACUCCACAAGCGCCACAGCUCGUCGUCAACACCUACGCGGAACGAGCGGAAACACAGCAACAAACAAACGAGCAGCUAGAACCCCCCAAGAUGAGGAAGGUUUCGCUCCCGUCAACUCUAGAAAACAAAGAAGAAAAACAAGGGAGGAACGCCACUCGCCAAAGCCCUUGCAAGGUGCCGACCGUCCUCAGGUAGUGUACCUAUAUAUCACGAGUUGCCACCCAGACACACACGAGGAAGAUGUUGAAGACUUACUCGAAAAUAAGUUCAACAACAUUUCCAAUGUGAAAUCUUUCAAAACUAAAAUGACACGUAAUUAUUACUCAAGCUUCACAGUCGCUAUAAGGGGCAAGAAUAUAAACCCAUUUCUUUUCUUAGAAUCCGACGUCCUUCCCAAUAAUAUAAAAGUGUUCCUCAAUAGAAACAAGUACAAAGGCGAGCAGAAUGCUUGGCGUUACAAAUCCGGCGGUCAAAUCACUAAACGCAAUCAGAAUAGAGCACAUCAAUGCACAGUCACUCCUCGGUCACUUCGAAGAAAUUGAAAAGAUAAUUAAGGAGAGAAAUGUUGAUUUUGUGUAUUAGUGAAACCAGCUUCACCAAGAAAUAUCAAACAGUUUCAUCAGCAUCCCAGACUUUCAUGUUUACAGACGUGAUGCAGGUCGUGGAGGUGGAAUCUGCAGUUAUAUAAGAGAUAUCUUUAAAUGAAAUAAGAUCUCUACAGCUAAAAGUAAUACAGCAGCAAAGGGCUUCGCGGUACUGUACAGUAUGUAUCCUUCCUCGUCGGCACAAUCUAUUGACAUCCUUUCGUCACUGCAGACUCUUUUGACGAUCUUGAAAAUAUUUUCAGAGAAAUGUCAAUAAAGAAAAAACCUCUUUUUAUUUUCGGUGAUUUAAAUGAGGAUUUAGAUCAACUAUAUGCAAAGUUAAUUGGGAUAAUUAAUAAAAAAAAAUAAACAGCAUAUAACCAAGCCUGCAAGGAUUACAAGAAAAUACCUCACCCAUAUUAGAUGUUAUAAUAACAAACAGACCCGAUAUUACACUUCACACAGACGCUGUCCCAUGCUACAUUGCUGAUCACGAGCUUUUAACCAUGACCUUAAAUGUAAAAAAAAAAAAAAUCGACAACCAGUCACUAAAACGCGCGAUCCUCAGUUACCCUGCCAACAUCUUAUAGCCGUCACUCUCAGAGAUCUUAACGACAGAGGACGUUGACAGACACGUUGAUCUAACAGAUAUGAUCAAGUAAGGCAUAGAUGCUUCCGCUCCUGGUGAAACAAAAACAGUUAGACGUCCACCCGCCCCUUGGGUAAAUGACAACACUAAAAGGGCCAUAAAUGAAAUAAAUAAUACUCACAACUUUCUCAAGAUAAACAGAUUUGACACGACCCUUUUGGAUGAAUAUAAACAUAAGAGAAAUAUGACAACAUUCUUCCACUGUGCGAAAACAAAUCAUUUUAAAAAUAAGUUCAAUGAAUGUAGAAACGACUAUGGAAAUUAGCUAAUUCACUUGAAACUAAAAAGAAAUAUGAUAUAUAUAUCCCUUAUUUCCAUGAAUAACACAGAAUCAUACAAGGAAAUUACUCAAACAGGUAACAUAACGGGUGCCCAUACGAGGCAAAAUAACUCCCUAUAUAUCAAAAGAUCGAAUGAUCGAAUACAGAACCGGCCAAGAAAUAUGCAAAUCCGAGGACUGAUGGUCUGGAACCAACUACCAGAAACUAUUAUAAACAUCUCCAACCAAAAAACAUUGAAAACAAAAGUGAAAGAACAUUUCUGAAAUAUCAAUGGUUUAAACAUCAAGCCAAGCACGAUAUUUCAGUCCACUUUUUAUAUUAAUUUUCUGUCUAAUUUUGUUACAUAUGCAAUGUGUAUCUAUGUAUGUAAUAUUAUAUUACAUAAUGUAAACACCAUAAUUGUAAAUAGAAAACCCAUUAAUAGAAUAAAGUUUUUGAAAUUA